GAUGAACGCUAGCGAUAGGCUUAACACAUGCAAGUCGAGGGGCAGCAUGGUCUUAGCUUGCUAAGACUGAUGGCGACCGGCGCACGGGUGCGUAACGCGUAUGCAACUUGCCUCACAGAGGGGGAUAACCCGUCGAAAGACGGACUAAUACCGCGUACACUCCAUCUUGGGCAUCCAAGGUAGAGGAAAUGAAAUUCGCUGUGAGAUAGGCAUGCGUCCCAUUAGCUAGUUGGUGAGGUAACGGCUCACCAAGGCGACGAUGGGUAGGGGAACUGAGAGGUGGAACCCCCACACUGGUACUGAGACACGGACCAGACUACUACGGGAGGCAGCAGUGAGGAAUAUUGGUCAAUGGGCGAGAGCCUGAACCAGCCAAGUCGCGUGAAGGAUGACUGUCUUAUGGAUUGUAAACUUCUUUUAGACGGGAAUAACAAGAGUCACGGGUGACUCCCUGCAUGUACCGUAUGAAUAAGCAUCGGCUAACUCCGUG
Molecule: ribosomal RNA, 490 nt
Filed under: uncultured bacterium
Lineage: Bacteria
Description: partial 16S ribosomal RNA
Rfam family: Bacterial small subunit ribosomal RNA
Source: RNAcentral